AAUUGUUACAAACUCCCUUUCAUCACCCUCCAGUUCUCCUUCAGAGGCAAAGAGCAAUGAACCAGAAGGAGAUCUUGGCAUGCUUUACGGAUCCAUCUUCCGAAGACACCACAUCACCCUCAUCAACUCUAGUAUCAUUAGCUUAGAAUGUAACUCCAACUGCACAGUGCACAACGGAAGGCCUUUGCAAAAGUGGUUAAGUGUGAUGGGAGAAACGCCGCCACCAUUCACACCCACUGGUAAACUGCAGAGGAGAGAAGUGGAUCCCACGCAGAGAGCUCUGUGGACACACAUCACAAACAUAUGGCAUUGCCAGACUUAAUGGCUCUUUAAUGGCAUUUAAGUGGCAAUAUUAAAAUGAUGGGGCUUUUACUAAAUUACCCAACAAGAAAAUAAAUAAAUAAAGGUCUGAGGAAAGGAUGAUAAUCAGCAAGCGGCACUAACUGUGUUAACCCAGCUAAUUCUGCACCUGUGCCUUUCUGCUGCCCAAAAUCACGCCAGAAGAAUUUUGAAUAAAUCACAAACAAGACUGGCACUGGUACGGGCAGGCGGCUUGGCAUGGCAUCUCAGCCAAAGUGCUCCUUCACUUCCGCCCUGAUGGAUUUGAAAAGUCAUUUCAACCAUUAUGCUCUUGGAACUCGAGUGCUACAGCACCUUUCAGAUAUGCUCAAGAUCAAGUUCCUCGGUGAGAUGGUUGGGCUCCAAAUGUGAAAGACCUUUGUGCUAACUGCAUCACCUGACCUUCUUCAGGCUUCACUAUGUUAGAUCUGUCAUGGGAAGGGUAUUUUCUAGUUGACUAAAAGCAUGAGCAUGCUAGUGAUAAUUUGUACCUAAGAGGUAAUCUUAUUCAAAUCUAAUACUGAUAUUAGAAGCUGAUUUGAAAGGACACACAAAGUGAAUGCUAAUGAAUAGAGGCAGUUAAAACAUUACACUCAAAAUCAAUGUAAAAGAGAUGAGUUCUUGUCGUAUAUAAUGCUUAAGCUGAUGUUUUCCAGCGUUUACCCAAUACAGACAACUAGUUGGAUCACUUUGGAGCACUAUGGUACAAAUAAUAGAUAAUUACUUGAAAUUAACACCUUAAAAGUUCCAGAGAUAGGGCGUAAAUAAAAUAUUUAUAAUGUUUAAUAUCAUUUUAUAAUUAUAGAAAUUCUGUCAAAACAAAAACCUCUAUAUUUUCAGAAGAAACAUAAGUUUGU
Molecule: long non-coding RNA, 1196 nt
Filed under: Lepisosteus oculatus (spotted gar)
Lineage: Eukaryota; Metazoa; Chordata; Actinopteri; Semionotiformes; Lepisosteidae
Description: lncRNA (ENSLOCG00000022321.1)
Source: RNAcentral